AAGUCGUAACAAGGUUUCCGUAGGUGAACCUGCGGAAGGAUCAUCAAAAAAGAUGGCGUCUUGUUCUUUUCUCUUUUGAGAAAGCAGGCGUCGUUUCUACUUUUGUGCACUUGUCUCUUUGUGGAUUUUUGUGCUGGUUGCGGCGGCCGAGCUUUCGGCCGCGGACCGCACAGACCCCAUCACACCUAUAUCUUUGUCUAAACUCGGUGACUCGCUUGCGAGCACGCCACACAUAACAAAAAAUAACUUUUAACAACGGAUCUCUUGGCUCUCC
RNAcentral lists this unclassified non-coding RNA (274 nucleotides) under fungal sp. RNAcentral describes it as "partial internal transcribed spacer region". The stretch from base 1 to 46 matches the Rfam family "Eukaryotic small subunit ribosomal RNA", at positions 1786 to 1831 of the family's 1831-position model. The record is from RNAcentral. Lineage: Eukaryota; Fungi.